This 70-nucleotide transfer RNA is filed under the name Limnocentropus hysbald. Its description in RNAcentral is "tRNA-Val". The record is from RNAcentral. Lineage: Eukaryota; Metazoa; Arthropoda; Insecta; Trichoptera; Limnocentropodidae.
CAAAUUAGAACUUGAUUAGAAAGUAUUUUAUUUACAUUAAAAUGUUGAUGUGAGAUUCAUUAUAAUUUGA